This 468-nucleotide ribosomal RNA is filed under the name uncultured bacterium. Its description in RNAcentral is "partial 16S ribosomal RNA". It matches the Rfam family "Bacterial small subunit ribosomal RNA", at positions 28 to 507 of the family's 1533-position model. The record is from RNAcentral.
GACGAACGCUGGCGGCGUGCUUAACACAUGCAAGUCGAACGGCAACGCCCUGAUUGUGUGGGGUGAUCGAGUGGCGAACGGGUGCGUAACACGUGAGUAACCUGCUCUUGUCUUUGGGAUAACUUCAGGAAACUGGGGUUACUACCGGACAGGAGCUCCUGUUGCAUUGAGGGGGUUGGAAAGUUUCGGCGGGUGGGGAUGGACUGGCGGCUGAUCAGCUUGUUGGUGGGGUAGUGGCUUACCAAGGCUUUGACGGGUAGCCGGCCUGGGAGGGUGGCCGGCGACAUGGGGACUGCGGUACGGCCCAGUCUCCUACGGUAGGCAGCAGUGGGGAAUAUUGCCCAGUGGGCGGAAGCCUGAGGCAGAGACGCCGCGUGCGGGAUGACGGCCUUCUGGUUGUAAACCGCUUUCGCCUGUGACGAAGCGUGAGUGACGGUACUGGAUAAAGAAGCACCGGCUAACUACGUG